GACGAACGCUGGCGGCGUGCUUAACACAUGCAAGUCGAACGGAAAGGCCCCUUCGGGGGUACUCGAGUGGCGAACGGGUGAGUAACACGUGAGUAACCUGCCCUUGACUUCGGGAUAACUUCAGGAAACUGGGGCUAAUACCGGAUAGGAAUCCUUGCUGCAUGGUGGGGGUUGGAAAGCUUCGGCGGUUUUGGAUGGACUCGCGGCUUAUCAGCUUGUUGGUGGGGUAGUGGCUUACCAAGGCUUUGACGGGUAGCCGGCCUGAGAGGGCGACCGGCCACAGUGGGACUGAGAUACGGCCCAGACUCCUACGGGAGGCAGCAGGGGGGAAUAUUGCACAAUGGGCGGAAGCCUGAUGCAGCAACGCCGCGUGCGGGAUGACGGCCUUCGGGUUGUAAACCGCUUUCAGCAGGGGCGAAGCUUGUGGUGACGGUACCUGCAGAAGAAGCACCGGCUAACUACGUG
Molecule: ribosomal RNA, 465 nt
Filed under: uncultured bacterium
Lineage: Bacteria
Description: partial 16S ribosomal RNA
Rfam family: Bacterial small subunit ribosomal RNA
Source: RNAcentral